AUCCAGAUGAAGAGUCCCAAUCAGGACGAAACAUGUGUCCUGGAU
RNAcentral lists this non-coding RNA (45 nucleotides) under Schistosoma curassoni. The record is from RNAcentral. Lineage: Eukaryota; Metazoa; Platyhelminthes; Trematoda; Strigeidida; Schistosomatidae.